GACGCGCGGUCACGAGAAUGUUUAGCAGAAGGCUGCUUAUCAUCGUCUGUCUUCAUCUCUGUGCAGGCAUUGGACAAAAUGAAGCGUGUGAACUGGCUGAAUGUUUCAACUGUUCUCAACCUCUAGGUAGAAAUAAAGCACAAGGCAGAGUCUAGAGAACCUGCUCAAUAUAUUUUACAUUCAAUUUUGUAAAUAACCUGAUUAUAUUUCUUCGUUCUAGCCCAAGCAUGUCCACUGUGCCAGUCCACGUCAAAUACCUGCACCAAUGGUCGGUUACAUUUUAUUUUUUUAUUUUUUUUGAUUCUGAAUUUAGACUGCAUUAAAAUGCUCAUUUCAUAUUUGCGUGUACAAAAAUUAGUGAAGAAAUUCUAGUUUAGGAGAAAGAAAAGUUGUGUGAUCAACAGCAAAUGCUAUGAAAUACAAAAAUAAAUUAUGAUUUUUAAUCACACGUCUGAGAUGUAAACACAAAUAAAAAAGAAUUGCAACAUAUAAACUUAGAAUUGAAAGAUAUAAAUUCAAAAUUCAGAUUAUUUUUAUUGCAAUUCUGGGAGAGAUUUUAAAUCUUACAUUUCUGUUUUUUUUUUUUCCCACCAAGGAAUAAAAAAUAAGUUUAUAUCACGCAAUUUAAUUUUUUUACUCAGAAAAGUCUGAACUGUGAGAUAGAGUUGCAAUUACUUUAUUUUUUUAUUUAUUUUUUUUAUCCUGUGGUGGAAACAAGCUUCCAUAAUCAGAAAUGUCUGAAAGAAUAAAAAAUACAAAAUAUAUAAUGACAAAAAUAAUUACGUUUUUGAGAAUGCAUUAAAUCUGUUCCCAUUCUCCUUUUCCCCAGAUAUUCUGCCAAAUUGCACGAAAAAAGGUACAAGUACUGUGCAUUAUUGCCUGAAAGACUGAUCAAAUCAAUGCUACCGGAGAUAGUGAUUAACCCUCAGGAAGAAAAUUACGUCAUCUGUUAGAUAUCAUUUGAAAACAGAUGAAAUGUAUGAUGACCUUUGACCUUUUGCUCUCCUUCCCAGAUUUUAAUGUGACCAUAAAACCCACUUCCACUAAAGUUCAAGAGGGUGUGACCGUGAUUCUUAACUGCACUCAUAACGUUCCCAAUGGCUCCAUUAGCUGGCUAAAGGACAAUGUAUUACAAGAAAACGAAAAUAAAGAAAUAUUUCAAAUCAAGUACAUUCAAAAAACCGCAGUGAUCAACUGCCAGGUUACAAGUAGUUGUGGGAACUACAACGAUACUAUAACAAUUGAAGUAGAAGCUGCUAAUAAUUUGGUGGUUUUACUGAUUUGUGUCGGAGCAGCAGCUGCUCUCCUCAUGCUGUUUGCAAUAGUCAUGAAGAUCGCACUCAAGAGAGGACAAGCUCAGAGUCAGGCCAGGAAAAGACAAAGACAGCAGAACCUGGAGAACAUCCACAGCUCUGUGAACACCGUCACCAGCUACUACUGAGAGAGAGCGCUUCUGCAGCCCAAGCUCCUGAUUCAGAGACCUUUCAGUUCUACACUCCAAAUAUAUUUAGACCUAAAUUUAUGAACUGCAUAUACAAUUUCCGUCCAUCUGGAUUAUACAAUUUUAACAUAAACUAAUAAUUGAGCUUUUAACGUGAACUCUAUGAACUUUAUAUGCGAUUCAAAUCAGUUUUGCUCACAUGUUAUUAUUAAAUGAUAUGGUGUAAAGUUGACUCGCUGGAUAGAUGGCAAUGGAAUGGGGUGUUUUUUUGACUUGUUAGGUCAUCCUAAAAACACAUGCGGAAAUGAAUAAUGUGAAAUACAGUGGUCGCCUACAGUAAUCAGUGAAAACAGCAAACGAAGGAAGAUUCGUCUUUGCACCGUUUUGUGAGCAAACACUUUACAAUAAGGUUCCAAUUGUUAAUAUUAGUUAACUACAUAAACAAACAAGGAAAAAUACUUCUAAAGCAUUUAUUAGUCUUAAAUUAUGUUGAUUCCAACAUUUACUAAUACAAUAUUAACAUUAACAAGAGUUAUCUAUUAAUGUUAUUGAAUGGACCUGAGCUACCUGAACAAUGAACAGUAAACAAAGAUUAAUAAAUACUGUAAUAAUGUAUUGCUCA
Cyprinus carpio (common carp) is the source of this 2063-nucleotide long non-coding RNA. The record is from Ensembl. Lineage: Eukaryota; Metazoa; Chordata; Actinopteri; Cypriniformes; Cyprinidae.